Molecule: ribosomal RNA, 373 nt
Filed under: uncultured bacterium
Lineage: Bacteria
Description: bacterial SSU rRNA
Rfam family: Bacterial small subunit ribosomal RNA
Source: RNAcentral
UAAUACGAAGGACCCGAGCGUUAUCCGGAUUUAUUGGGUUUAAAGGGUGCGUAGGCGGAUUUAUAAGUCAGUGGUGAAAUCUCCCCGCUCAACGGGGAAACUGCCAUUGAAACUAUUUAUCUUGAGUACAUUUGAGGCGGGCGGAAUGUGUCAUGUAGAGGUGAAAUUCUUAGAUAUGACACAGAACACCAAUUGCGAAGGCAGCUCGCUAAACUGUAACUGACGCUGAGGCACGAAAGCGUGGGGAUCAAACAGGAUUAGAUACCCUGGUAGUCCACGCCCUAAACGAUGAUUACUCGAAGUGUGCGAUACACAGCACGCCUCUGAGCGAAAGCAUUAAGUAAUCCACCUGGGAAGUACGACCGCAAGGUUG